This 397-nucleotide ribosomal RNA is filed under the name uncultured bacterium. RNAcentral's name for it is "partial 16S ribosomal RNA". It matches the Rfam family "Bacterial small subunit ribosomal RNA", at positions 523 to 918 of the family's 1533-position model. The record is from RNAcentral.
AUACGUAGGGGGCGAGCGUUGUCCGGAAUGAUUGGGCGUAAAGGGCGCGUAGGCGGCUUUGCAAGUCAGUAGUGGAAGUCCAUUUUUCAAGGAUGGAAGUGCUACAGAAACUGCGGAGCUUGAGUGCAGGAGAGGUUAUCGGAAUUCCCGGUGUAGCGGUGAAAUGCGUAGAGAUCGGGAGGAACACCAGUGGCGAAGGCGGGUAACUGGACUGCAACUGACGCUGAGGCGCGAAAGUGUGGGGAGCAAACAGGAUUAGAUACCCUGGUAGUCCACACGGUAAACGAUGAAUGCUAGGUGUAGGAGGUAUCGACCCCUUCUGUGCCGCAGUAAACACAGUAAGCAUUCCGCCUGGGGAGUACGGUCGCAAGAUUAAAACUCAAAUGAAUUGACGGGG